RNAcentral lists this non-coding RNA (99 nucleotides) under Holdemania filiformis. RNAcentral describes it as "Guanine sequence". It matches the Rfam family "Purine riboswitch aptamer". Rfam says of the family: Riboswitches are metabolite binding domains within certain messenger RNAs that serve as precision sensors for their corresponding targets. Allosteric rearrangement of mRNA structure is mediated by ligand binding, and this results in modulation of gene expression. The record is from Rfam by way of RNAcentral. Lineage: Bacteria; Bacillati; Bacillota; Erysipelotrichia; Erysipelotrichales; Erysipelotrichaceae.
AGCAGUCAGAUUUGCAUUACUUGUAUAGGUGUCAAAUUUCGGCUGACACGUAUCUACCCACUGGCCUAUGUGUGGACUACAAGUAACCUUUUCCCCCAU